CACUCCUACGGGAGGCAGCAGUGGGGAAUAUUGGACAAUGGGCGCAAGCCUGAUCCAGCCAUGCCGCGUGAGUGAUGAAGGCCCUAGGGUUGUAAAGCUCUUUCACCGGUGAAGAUAAUGACGGUAACCGGAGAAGAAGCCCCGGCUAACUUCGUGCCAGCAGCCGCGGUAAUACGAAGGGGGCUAGCGUUGUUCGGAUUUACUGGGCGUAAAGCGCACGUAGGCGGACUAUUAAGUCAGGGGUGAAAUCCCGGGGCUCAACCCCGGAACUGCCUUUGAUACUGGUAGUCUUGAGUUCGAGAGAGGUGAGUGGAAUUCCGAGUGUAGAGGUGAAAUUCGUAGAUAUUCGGAGGAACACCAGUGGCGAAGGCGACUCACUGGCUCGAUACUGACGCUGAGGUGCGAAAGCGUGGGGAGCAAACAGGAUUAGAAACCCGAGUAGUCCC
RNAcentral lists this ribosomal RNA (446 nucleotides) under uncultured organism. RNAcentral's name for it is "partial 16S ribosomal RNA". It matches the Rfam family "Bacterial small subunit ribosomal RNA", at positions 334 to 797 of the family's 1533-position model. The record is from RNAcentral.